This 254-nucleotide ribosomal RNA is filed under the name uncultured bacterium. RNAcentral describes it as "partial 16S ribosomal RNA". It matches the Rfam family "Bacterial small subunit ribosomal RNA", at positions 524 to 776 of the family's 1533-position model. The record is from RNAcentral.
CACGUAGGGGGCGAGCGUUGUCCGGAUUUAUUGGGCGUAAAGAGCUCGUAGGCGGCUCGGUAAGUCAGGUGUGAAAUUUCAGGGCUCAACCCUGAAAAGCCACCUGAUACUGCCGUGGCUAGAGUCCGGUAGGGGAGUGGGGAAUUCCUGGUGUAGCGGUGAAAUGCGCAGAUAUCAGGAGGAACACCAGCGGCGAAGGCGCCACUCUGGGCCGGUACUGACGCUGAGGAGCGAAAGCGUGGGGAGCAAACAGG